This 351-nucleotide ribosomal RNA is filed under the name uncultured bacterium. RNAcentral describes it as "bacterial SSU rRNA". It matches the Rfam family "Bacterial small subunit ribosomal RNA", at positions 335 to 676 of the family's 1533-position model. The record is from RNAcentral.
ACUCCUACGGGAGGCAGCAGUGGGGAAUAUUGCACAAUGGGGAAACCCUGAUGCAGCCAUGCCGCGUGUGUGAAGAAGGCCUUCGGUUGUAAAGCACUUUCAGUAGGGAGGAAGGUAGUGUAGUUAACACCUGCAUUAUUUGACGUUACCUACAGAAGAAGCACCGGCUAACUCCGUGCCAGCAGCCGCGGUAAUACGGAGGGUGCGAGCGUUAAUCGGAAUUACUGGGCGUAAAGCGCAUGCAGGCGGCCUGUUAAGUCAGAUGUGAAAAGCCCGGGGCUUAAACUCGGGAAUUAGCGAUUUGAAACUGGCAGGCUAGAGUCUUGUAGAGGGGGGUAGAAUUUCGAGGUG